RNAcentral lists this ribosomal RNA (497 nucleotides) under uncultured bacterium. Its description in RNAcentral is "partial 16S ribosomal RNA". It matches the Rfam family "Bacterial small subunit ribosomal RNA", at positions 28 to 507 of the family's 1533-position model. The record is from RNAcentral.
GACGAACGCUGGCGGCGUGCCUAAUACAUGCAAGUAGAACGCUGAAGCGAGGAGCUUGCUCUUCUUGGAUGAGUUGCGAACGGGUGAGUAACGCGUAGGUAACCUGCCUUGUAGCGGGGGAUAACUAUUGGAAACGAUAGCUAAUACCGCAUAACAAUGGAUGACACAUGUCAUUUAUUUGAAAGGGGCAAUUGCUCCACUACAAGAUGGACCUGCGUUGUAUUAGCUAGUAGGUGAGGUAAUGGCUCACCUAGGCGACGAUACAUAGCCGACCUGAGAGGGUGAUCGGCCACACUGGGAGUGUGACACGGCCCAGACGCCUUCGGGAGGCAGCAGGAGGGAAUCUUCGGCAAUGGGGGCAACCCUGACCGAGCAACGCCGCGUGAGUGAAGAAGGUUUUCGGAUCGUAAAGCUCUGUUGUAAGUCAAGAACGGGUGUGAGAGUGGAAAGUUCACACUGUGACGGUAGCUUACCAGAAAGGGACGGCUAACUACGUG